CGCCCGGUGAGGUCCUGCCUUGCGCCCCUGUCUCUUCCUCUGAAUCUGUGCACCCCGGGGCUUCGCAGGCACUGUUCCUUCUGAGUGUAAUGCUGUCCGGCGUUUCCUUCAGCUUCAGACAAUUUCAAUGAGACCUCAUUACUGGAAGCUAGUCUGAACCUAUAUGAACCAGGUGAGGGCCCAGCACAGCUGGCCUGGAGGGGGACCUAGUGGGAAGAGUGGCUGGGUCCGAUGGGCACCCUGUGCACCCACCUCUGCACGAACAGACGAGGGCCAGAGCAUCCUUCCGCCAAACCCCAGCCUAAGCACCACUGACCACAUGACCUCGGCCAAAUUAUGGGUCCUCUCUGAGCCUUGCCUUUC
This is a long non-coding RNA of Cervus elaphus (red deer), 363 nucleotides long. RefSeq lists it as uncharacterized. The transcript has 3 exons. The record is from RefSeq and is a predicted model, not a curated record. Lineage: Eukaryota; Metazoa; Chordata; Mammalia; Artiodactyla; Cervidae.